Molecule: long non-coding RNA, 768 nt
Organism: Oncorhynchus tshawytscha (Chinook salmon)
Lineage: Eukaryota; Metazoa; Chordata; Actinopteri; Salmoniformes; Salmonidae
Source: Ensembl
GGAAAAACAAAAACAAAUAAAGAUAUUGGUUAUGCUACAUAUUCCAAACUAUAUCAGACAUGCGUCUGUCCUGUUCUGGACUAUUCAGCAGGAGUGUGGGGUGCUAAGAGGUAUUUUAAAAACAAAACAUUUUCAUAACAGAGCAGUGCAUUAUUUUUUAGUUGUCCACAAGUUGCACCUAUACUUGCAAUAACUGGGCUGGGAACCCUGUGAGUUGAGAUGGAAGGCAUGUAUGGUGAGAAUUUGGAAUAGACUGUUGGAUAUCCCAACAGCCAGAAUAGCUAGUAAUGUUUUUCAAUGGGAUCUCUGCAUAUUGAAACAGGUCAGAUCAGGGAUAUUGCCUCUGCGUAUUGAAACAGGUCAGAUCAGGGAUAUUGCCUCUGCGUAUUGAAACAGGUCAGAUCAGGGAUAUUGCCUCUGCGUAUUGAAACAGGUCAGAUCAGGGAUAUUGCCUCUGCUUAUUGAAACAGGUCAGAUCAGGGAUAUUGUCUGUGGGUAUUGAAACAGGUCAUAUCAGGGAUAUUGUCUCUGCGUAUUGAAACAGGUCAGAUGAGGGAUAUUGCCUCUGCGUAUUGAAACAGGUCAGAUGAGGGAUAUUGCCUCUGCGUAUUGAAACAGGUCAGAUCAGGGAUAUUUCAUCUGCGUAUUGAAACAGGUCGGUAUUGUGGUGAAAUGAAAGAGGAAAGCCUAUGUAAUUAUUGUGACCUCAAAGAAAUAGAGAAUGAAACUCAUGUUGUCCUCUAUUACCCUUUCAACCCAAUAUACGCU